UGGCGGCAGGCCUAACACAUGCAAGUCGAGCGGAAACGACACUANCAANUCUUCGGNNGCNUUAAUGGGCGUCGAGCGGCGGACGGGUGAGUAAUGCCUAGGAAAUUGCCUUGAUGUGGGGGAUAACCAUUGGAAACGAUGGCUAAUACCGCAUAAUGCCUACGGGCCAAAGAGGGGGAUCUUCGGACCUCUCGCGUCAAGAUAUGCCUAGGUGGGAUUAGCUAGUUGGUGAGGUAAUGGCUCACCAAGGCGACGAUCCCUAGCUGGUCUGAGAGGAUGAUCAGCCACACUGGAACUGAGACACGGUCCAGACUCCUACGGGAGGCAGCAGUGGGGAAUAUUGCACAAUGGGCGAAAGCCUGAUGCAGCCAUGCCGCGUGUAUGAAGAAGGCCUUCGGGUUGUAAAGUACUUUCAGUUGUGAGGAAGGGGGUGUAGUUAAUAGCUGCAUAUCUUGACGUUAGCAACAGAAGAAGCACCGGCUAACUCCGUGCCAGCAGCCCGCGGUAAUACGGAGGGUGCGAGCCGUUAAUCGGAAUUACUGGGCGUAAAGCGCAUGCAGGUGGUUCAUUAAGUCAGAUGUGAAAGCCCGGGGCUCAACCUCGGAACUGCAUUUGAAACUGGUGAACUAGANUGCUGUAGAAGGGGGGUAGAAUUU
Molecule: ribosomal RNA, 656 nt
Filed under: Vibrio sp. C4b
Lineage: Bacteria; Pseudomonadati; Pseudomonadota; Gammaproteobacteria; Vibrionales; Vibrionaceae
Description: bacterial SSU rRNA
Rfam family: Bacterial small subunit ribosomal RNA
Source: RNAcentral